This is a long non-coding RNA of Brienomyrus brachyistius, 573 nucleotides long. RefSeq lists it as uncharacterized. The record is from RefSeq and is a predicted model, not a curated record. The transcript is spliced from 3 exons. NCBI's taxonomy places the organism in Eukaryota, Metazoa, Chordata, Actinopteri, Osteoglossiformes, Mormyridae.
GUCUACGUCUGCAUAGGGGAAGGGGACACAAGAACGAGGACCAAUGAGGACUCAGAGCAAGGUGGCUCACGGGCCAAUGAGUGCCCAGGGCAGGGUUGUUUACGGACCAAUGAGAAUAGGGAGGAGGGAGCUUCAUGGACCGAUGAGAACAGAGGGCAGAGAGGAGACUUAAUUAAUUAAGGCUUGAUUAAAUGCAUUUUUCAGUCCAGAAUGAAAUGCCCUUUUGCCAUGUAUAAAGCUGUUACAGGACUAGAGGCUGAACUAAAUGCAUCCCAUGACACACAUUUCAAAGGCAGGCAACUUGCCAACAGCACACUCAAUACAGCAAGCUUGACAAGGAUUGAUGAAUAUGUCUGAAGGUGGUGGACUGUCCCCAGGAGACCAUGAAUAAAUGUGAAGACAACUCUCUGCUUAUCCUUCUCUUGUCCAUGUUCAGCGUGAUGCACACAAUCACACAAAACAGGCAGGAUGGACAGACGUGUGAGGACGGGAUGACCCAGGCCAGACACCAGUUGGGGGCGCAGCCGUGCCAGGACCCGAGUGCCAUUACUGGGGACACGCCCCCUUUCCAAG